Long non-coding RNA from Psammomys obesus (fat sand rat), 395 nucleotides. RefSeq lists it as uncharacterized. The transcript is spliced from 3 exons. The record is from RefSeq and is a predicted model, not a curated record. Lineage: Eukaryota; Metazoa; Chordata; Mammalia; Rodentia; Muridae.
CUUCCGGUUUAUGGCCCAAAAGGCCGGCUGGUCCGGAGUCGUACGGGCGAGACGCAAGGAGGCGUAACUAAGAUGGGCGCGCGCGUUGAAAAGGGAGCCUGGAGCCAGCUCGGAGACCGGACCCGGUGUUUUCAAGUCAUUUUGGAAUUCACUAAAAGCAACAAGUGCAGUUUUCUGUGGCUUUCCACACCUGCAAUGUUCUUUCUGGAGCCAGACAGCAGGCCACCAUUGAUUAGCGUUGGAAUGCAAACUUCUGUAUGUGGUCCCUAAUGUCAGUAGAAGGCGUUAGAUCACCUGGAACUGGAGUCGCAGGCAGUUAAAAGCAGCCUGACAUGGUACUAAGACUUGAACUCAGUCCUGUGGAAGAGCCUUUGACCAUGAAGCCAUCUCAACCC